RNAcentral lists this ribosomal RNA (373 nucleotides) under uncultured prokaryote. RNAcentral describes it as "bacterial SSU rRNA". It matches the Rfam family "Bacterial small subunit ribosomal RNA", at positions 524 to 896 of the family's 1533-position model. The record is from RNAcentral.
GACGAACCGUGCGAACGUUGUUCGGAAUCACUGGGCUUAAAGGGUGCGUAGGCGGAAUGGCAAGUCGGAGGUGAAAGCCCCCAGCUUAACUGGGGAAGUGCCCUCGAUACUGCUGUUCUCGAGAGAGGUAGGGGCGUGUGGAACUUCCGGUGGAGCGGUGAAAUGCGUAGAUAUCGGAAGGAACGCCGGUGGCGAAAGCGAUGCGCUGGACCUUUUCUGACGCUGAGGCACGAAAGCUAGGGGAGCGAACGGGAUUAGAUACCCCGGUAGUCCUAGCCCUAAACGAUGGGUACUGGGUUGCGGGUCAGACAUGGACUCGCAGCCGAAGCAAAAGUGGUAAGUACCCCGCCUGGGGAGUAUGGUCGCAAGGCUG